GGAUUAGAUACCCUAUUAUUAUAGAUAUAAAUUUUGGACUUGAGUAGUAUUAGUUAUGAUCUUGAAACUUAAAGAAUUUGGCGGUAUUUUAGUCUAUUUAGAGGAAUCUGUUCCAUUAUCGAUAUUCCACGUUGAACCUUACUUAAUUUAUUAAUAUGUAUACCGCCGUUUAUUGAAAAUCUUAUUAGGGUAAAAUUUUCUUAAUACAAAAUUUUGUAAUAUUUCAGGUCAAGGUGCAGUUUAUAAUUAAGUGGAAAUGGAUUACAAU
Molecule: ribosomal RNA, 268 nt
Filed under: Opisthoplatia orientalis
Lineage: Eukaryota; Metazoa; Arthropoda; Insecta; Blattodea; Blaberidae
Description: partial 12S small subunit ribosomal RNA
Source: RNAcentral